CUCGGGGGAGGGGGGGCUCCCUCAUCCUGGAUUGCAAGAGGGCACAGGCCAGGCUAAGGGACCCCACUGGUGCACA
This 76-nucleotide microRNA precursor is filed under the name Myotis lucifugus (little brown bat). Its description in RNAcentral is "mir-9193 microRNA precursor family". It matches the Rfam family "mir-9193 microRNA precursor family". The record is from Rfam by way of RNAcentral. Lineage: Eukaryota; Metazoa; Chordata; Mammalia; Chiroptera; Vespertilionidae.